ACUCCGUACGGGAGGCAGCAGUAGGGAAUCUUCCACAAUGGGCGCAAGCCUGAUGGAGCAACACCGCGUGAGUGAAGAAGGGUUUCGGCUCGUAAAGCUCUGUUGUUAAAGAAGAACACGUAUGAGAGUAACUGUUCAUACGUUGACGGUAUUUAACCAGAAAGUCACGGCUAACUACGUGCCAGCAGCCGCGGUAAUACGUAGGUGGCAAGCGUUAUCCGGAUUUAUUGGGCGUAAAGAGAGUGCAGGCGGUUUUCUAAGUCUGAUGUGAAAGCCUUCGGGCUUAACCGGAGAAGUGCAUCGGAAACUGGAUAACUUGAGUGCAGAAGAGGGUAGUGGAACUCCAUGUGUAGCGGUGGAAUGCGUAGAUAUAUGGAAGAACACCAGUGGCGAAGGCGGCUACCUGGUCUGCAACUGACGCUGAGACUCGAAAGCAUGGGUAGCGAACAGGAUUAGAUACCCUGGUAGGAUAGCG
RNAcentral lists this ribosomal RNA (475 nucleotides) under uncultured bacterium. RNAcentral's name for it is "bacterial SSU rRNA". It matches the Rfam family "Bacterial small subunit ribosomal RNA", at positions 335 to 801 of the family's 1533-position model. The record is from RNAcentral.